GCGGCAUGUUUGUUUUUCAGUGUGUAAACAUUGGUAGAUUCAAAAAUAAACCAAGAAAGUUAUAAGCCAGCAUACUUAUUGGGGGGUGUUUCAACUUUUUUUUUCUCUUAAAGAACCCGUCUUCAACCAGUUUUGUAACGACAUAAAUAAGAUUUGUUUCAAUUUUUGUAUUUUGAUUUGUAAUCGGGACACUUAUUUUGUUUUACCGUCACCGCUAUGGUAAAAUAAUUAUAUUCAAAAUAGCUGCUGCAGAUUGGAAACACUGUAUGUAGUGUGCCGGUAGAUAGUUUGAAACUCGAAACUCGCAUAUUGAUAAUGUAAAAUACAUGAAAUUAAAAAAAAUGACACUUCUAAAGUUUGAUCGUCGUUUCAAAAGUGAGGCAUUUGCCUCAUUUGCCUCCAUUACGCUACGGCCCUGCAUACGGGAAUCUGACAAAACAGUAGGCAGGAUCCGGGAUCGGAACCCCCCAAUGAGACCCCCAUUUGGGUGUUUAGUUUGGUACUAUCCUAUAGGGUUACUUAGAAGACACAGAUUAGAAGAAGACCUGCAGGAACAGUUUGAUCUUCGUUUUGAAAGUAACAAAGAAUUCAGCAUAGACAUUUUUGACACUAUAAACACAGCAAUAUAGAGUUUUAACAUAAUUUGUAACUAAGCUAAAAAGUACCUCCAUUUAUUCAUUUUUUUGUAUCUCAAAUCUUUUCCUCUCUUCCGUUAUUUAUUAUCAUGUUUUCAACAGUUUAAUUUUCCAUUUUUUUCUUUUUUAUUGUUGCGUGUUUAUUUUACCUAUAUGCAGAAUGCCUAUUUGAUUUCUUGUGGUCAUAAAAUGAUUCUGAUGUCUACAUAAUCAUGAAACUUAAUUACUUCUUUAAAGUGUCUUAAAAAUUUCAAAAUGAUUAGGUUUUCCAAAUUUUAACAAAUCUCUGUUUGAAAAGAUGUAACACAGAUAAUUAGAUGGAUAUCAGAGUUUUAAUUAGUUCAUAAUACUAAAAAAUCAUCUUUGACCUUGACCAUGUGAAUGAUCUAGUUUAACAAAAUAAAUUCUGCACUAAGAUUAUAAAGAAUUUUGAUCAUCAAACAUUAUGAAUGAAUAUUAAUCUACGAUCAAAGAAUAUCUUAAAACAUUACAUAACCAAUUUUUUUUAAAUGUUCAUUUCUAGACGAGAUUAAACUGUGAGGCUAUCAGUCAAAUGGAUCAGACUAACAGAUAUUCAACUGUU
Molecule: long non-coding RNA, 1218 nt
Filed under: Mytilus galloprovincialis (Mediterranean mussel)
Lineage: Eukaryota; Metazoa; Mollusca; Bivalvia; Mytilida; Mytilidae
Source: RNAcentral